UCAUAUAAUAUAUAUUUUUAUUUAUUUAUUAUUUUCUUUUCUUUUUCUUUUUCUUUUUUUUUUUAAAAAAAAGCCUUUAUUUUUGUAAACUUUGCUAUAAAAAAAGGGAAAUUUACACCUAUUACUGUUUUUUCUUAAUUUUUUUUGUUUAUACUGUUACACGCUCAAGUUUACUUUUAUACUAUUUUUGAAUUUUAAUUUUUUUUGGCAGUAUCCUGCCUUUGGAAAGUUUAAUAUACCAUAAUUGUUUUGUUUUGAGGCAUCCAACUCAUCCCAUUCAUUCCCACUUUGCCCACAGUUUAUUGAAACCAAACCUACACUGUUUGUGUGAAAGUGACUAGUUCUUUAUUAUUUUUUUUAUUUUAAUGAUUUAAAAAUUAUUUAAUAAUUAUUAUAUUAUCUUCUGAUUAAAUGGUUGAUGGGAUGUGGGCUGGUGAUAUGUUUUUCAUACUUUUUUUUUAUUUAAAUAAAUUUAAAAAUCUCACACAACAUGUCCCACUAUUUAUCAAACACAUGUCCUUUUAUAAUAUUUGCAGAACAAGAACAACAUGAAGUACUUGUUCUUUUUAGAAGAUGGGUGGACUCAUCUUAUGAACAUGAAGAUAAGGUAUCAUGUAAUAGUAAUUGCUCAUCUUCUGUUCUUCUUCUUCUUCUUCAUGGGUCUCUUUCUUUUAUUUUAUUUUUUCAAAAUCCAUACACUUAUCAUCUUUUUUCUCACUAUCUUCCUCCUUAAGUUCUCUUACUCUCUCCAUUAACAUAUAAAUUUUUUAUUUUAUUUCUUGUUCAGUUCUUCUUCUUCAUCUUCUUCUCAUUUUUUUAAUUUUUCUAAUUUUUAAUCACACUUUUGGAGGGAAAUAAAAGAGUGGUUUUUUUAUUGUGAUUUUCUAGAUCUGUUCUUGCAAAUAUAGGUUAUGGUAAUUCAAAGAACACUAAAUCAAAAAAUACCCUCAAUCUGUGUUAGAGAACUCCGACUCCGAUUUUGAGUUUGAGCCAAAGUUCCAAAGUCUCUCAAAUCUGAUAAGCCGAAAGAAAGUUCAAAAGUCUCCCAAAUCUGAUAAGUUUUAUUUUGUUAACUCUUAGGGAAAGAGAAAAUACCAAGUGAAGAUUGUUCAAUCAACUGAUCUGUUCGAAGACAUAAUUAGGAAAAGGGUUGUCGAGGAUGGGAAUCCAAGUACACCCGAUCGAAAUACUACCAUUCCAAAGUUUUUUUAUGCUUGUUUUUUUUUUUUAUAUUCUGUAGUUUUUUUGUGUUGUUUUAGUAGUGUUUUCUUAUGUUUUUUUUAUAGGAUUGUUGUUGAUUUAGUAAUUUUUUCUCUUUGCCAAAUUUUAUGGUUUUUUCCUGGUGUUUCUAUGAUUCUAGUGUUGAUUUGUCCGUCCCCAACCACGAAGGAGGUGCCGUUUGUGCUUUAUUACUGUUAACAGUAUAAAAAUAAAUAUUUUAAGUCUGGACAAUAUGAAAGAAAAAAAAAGGAGCUUGGACAGUAAAAAAAAAAUUAUUGCCGUGUGGCAGUAUUAUUGUAAAACUUGGGGAAAAAAACAGUAUUUUUAUAAGUUUCCCUAAAAAAAACCAUAAAAAAAUUUCCCAAAAAUAAUUUGAAUACUUAAAUAUUACCUAAUACUCUAGGUAAUUUCACUAAAUAGCAAUUGGAGUACAAUAUAAUUUCCCAAACUUUUGUAACUGUCACAAAUAAAUACUAAAAAUUUUAUUAGUGACUAAACUAUCUAAAAUAAAUACUUAAAACUAUUUGAGUCUUAUAGCAAAACUACUUUACUAAAAUAAUGCGACAUUAUUAUUUAUUACCGAAGUUAUAACUCUCAUUUACGAGGUUGAGUCUGCAGUUCUAGUAAGCUUAGGUAGUUUUGGUAUUUAUAUAUUAUACUUGUAGAAACUUAAUUAGGUACGUAAAGCUGGAACGUAGGUGAAAGGUGUGUAAGUGGAGGCAUCUACGAGAUUUGGGUGGUGGACUUCAAAAUUUGCAGAAGAAUGUUGGGGGUGAGAGUGGUGCAAGGCAGAGAAAAUAUAGAAGUUUGACCAGCCAACGAAAUGUGGUUAAGUGAAAAUCUUAACCACUUGCUUAAUUUUUUUCUUUUUUGGCCUUAACCACAACCGCACAAAUAUGCAGUUAACUAUGGUAUAACAUUAACUAAUAUAUUCUGUUCGAUAUUAACUCAAGUCUUACAUAUAAAAAAUGGAUAAAAGAUGCUUUAAAUACAAGUGUUCCACUACUCCUCAAUACUUAAUAAGUAUGAUAAGGUGCUCAAAAAUAAAAACGAAAACAACAAAAAAAAAAAAAGUAAGGUUUCUUCCACACAUCCCAAAUGCAGAUUUUUUUUUUUUUAAAAGAAAAAUUCGUGAUUAUGUGGCCGAUUCUAAACUCUACCAUGGACAGGCUUUUAAUAUAUAUAUAUUGAAGGCUCCAAUUUUUUUAAAAUACCACGUGAUAUAUAUAACAAUUUGCAUUUUUACGUUGGUUCCCUACAAAGUCAGGGCCGGGUCUGCGUUGAACUUCGCCAACGUCACAAUGAAAACGGUAUCUAAACACUUCAACACCCUCUUUCGAGAGCCCACUCUUUUUGAUCCCAUAAGUUUUUUUUUUUUUUUUUUUUUGAAAGAUGAUCACAUUUUACUUAUCGAUUUGUAUAUUGAUUCAAUGAUUUUUGGCUUUUGGAUUUCCAUUCACGGUGGAAUAUAGAGGAGAAUGACAAAAUGAAGAUGGAGGAUACAGAGGACGAUCCUCUUUAGAGCAUCUCCAAUAUGGUAAAAUGUUAAAAGGUUUUUUGGUGAGGUGUACAUUUGCAAAAUAUUGAGAUGCUUAAAGAGAAAAAUAUAUUAUUCUAAAAAUUUACAUGGAUGUAAUGUUAUAUUAUUGGUGCUAUUAUUUUUUUAAAAAUUAAAGUUAAAAAAUUAUUACAAAUAUAUAUUAAAUAAUAAUUAGUGAAAUUAUUAUAUUGUUUUUAAAGAAUUCUAUAUAUUAAAAUAUUUUUAAAAGUAAAUAGAUAAAAUAAAAUAUUAUAUUUUUAAAUAAUAUUUAAAUUUUUAGCAUUUUAUUUUAAAUAAUGCAUUGGAGAUAGUUGUUAUAUAUCUCUAUUAAAGUUGUAAACGUUGUUCAUUGCAAAAAAAGAAAGUUACACGUUUUUCAACAAUGAAACGCUUUACUACACGUGGAAGUAAAAGAAAAAGGAUAUAAUGCCUGUAAAUGGUAUGAGAGGUAGAUGACGGAACCUAAAAGUAGAAGUGUUAAAUUUUUUUUCGAAACAAUAGAAGUGUUAAUUCAUUAAUUGAUUUGACUACAUUUGAUUGGUUCGACAGGAUAUAGUUCACAUUUGACCUGUACAGGUUUUUAAUCGCUUUUAAUUGAAAAAUCUGGAUAAGUUAGAGUAAUAAUAAUUUGGUUAAUUACUAAUUUUUUUUUUUUUAAAUUUUAACAUGUAUUAAAUUUCAAAGUUUGGUUUAAAAAUUAUUAAUUACUAAUUAGCCUAAUAAUUUAAUGUGGAAACUCUAAAUAUAUAAUUGGAUGAAUUAAUUUAUGUUUUUCAAAAAUAAAAUUUAUUUGUUCUUAAAAUUCAUAUUAAUUUUUUAUUUUUUAAUAAAUACAUAUUAAUUUCUUUUAAAAAAAAAAGCAUAUUAAUUUAAAGUUAAAUAUAAAUAUAUAAGACAAAUAAUCGUUACCGUAUAGAAUUGGUUUCAAGAGGCGCGCGGCCAAACCCCAGGCAUCAUCAUCGUCGUCAUCCA
RNA transcript from Cannabis sativa, 3733 nucleotides. RefSeq lists it as uncharacterized. Lineage: Eukaryota; Viridiplantae; Streptophyta; Magnoliopsida; Rosales; Cannabaceae. The record is from RefSeq and is a predicted model, not a curated record. The transcript has 4 exons.